RNAcentral lists this long non-coding RNA (313 nucleotides) under Physcomitrium patens. RNAcentral describes it as "long non-coding RNA (PPAT_LNC006848)". Lineage: Eukaryota; Viridiplantae; Streptophyta; Bryopsida; Funariales; Funariaceae. The record is from RNAcentral.
GAUUUGUGAGGAUGAAGUCGAGCAUCGAUCGCAGUUAGGCGAAGAGACGGACGACGUUGGGUGGAGCCGAAUGAAAAAGGAUAGAUACCGGGCCAAGGCCUGGGUUUGGGAGUCCAAAAGGACGCUGUGGUUGUCAGAGAUGGCCGAGAGUUGACUCCCUUGUGGAUAAGCAGGUCUCGUUCUGGAUCGUCAUCGCCAUCCUUUUCCAGCAAUGGCAUCGCUCAUGAAAGCAAGUCUGGGAAAACGUAAUUGCGAUCGAGCUAAGAUAGGUGCGGGAACAUUUCUUACUGGGGUGCUGGAGCUACCACUCUCA